Molecule: ribosomal RNA, 484 nt
Filed under: uncultured bacterium
Lineage: Bacteria
Description: partial 16S ribosomal RNA
Rfam family: Bacterial small subunit ribosomal RNA
Source: RNAcentral
AUUGAACGCUGGCGGCAGGCCUAACGCAUGCAAGUCGAGCGGAUGAAGGGAGCUUGCUCCUGGAUUCAGCGGCGGACGGGUGAGUAAUGCCUAGGAAUCUGCCUGGUAGUGGGGGAUAACGUCCGGAAACGGGCGCUAAUACCGCAUACGUCCUGAGGGAGAAAGGGGGGGAUCUUCGGACCUCACGCUAUCAGAUGAGCCUAGGUCGGAUUAGCUAGUUGGUGGGGUAAAGGCCUACCAAGGCGACGAUCCGUAACUGGUCUGAGAGGAUGAUCAGUCACACUGGAACUGAGACACGGUCCAGACUCCUACGGGAGGCAGCAGUGGGGAAUAUUGGACAAUGGGCGAAAGCCUGAUCCAGCCAUGCCGCGUGUGUGAAGAAGGUCUUCGGAUUGUAAAGCACUUUUAGUUGGGAGGAAGGGCAGUAAGUUAAUACCUUGCUGUUUUGACGUUACCAACAGAAUAAGCACCGGCUAACUACGUG